ACGCUCGACACCUACGGGNGGCAGCAGUGGGGAAUAUUGCACAAUGGGGGAAACCCUGAUGCAGCGACGCCGCGUGAAGGAAGAAGUAUCUCGGUAUGUAAACUUCUAUCAGCAGGGAAGAAAAUGACGGUACCUGACUAAGAAGCCCCGGCUAACUACGUGCCAGAAGCCGCGGUAAUCUGAGCGGGCUGGCAAGGC
RNAcentral lists this ribosomal RNA (198 nucleotides) under uncultured bacterium. RNAcentral's name for it is "partial 16S ribosomal RNA". It matches the Rfam family "Bacterial small subunit ribosomal RNA", at positions 328 to 539 of the family's 1533-position model. The record is from RNAcentral.